This 129-nucleotide microRNA precursor is filed under the name Podarcis lilfordi (Lilford's wall lizard). The record is from RNAcentral. Lineage: Eukaryota; Metazoa; Chordata; Lepidosauria; Squamata; Lacertidae.
GAAGGUUCCAAACUCAAUUUCAGAUGGAGGCAUACUCCCCAUCUGAAAUAAUAAUAAAAUAUUAUAUAAUAUAUAAUAUUAUUUCAGAUGGGGGACAUGGCUCUAUCUGAAAUUGAGUGUGGAACCUUC